GAAAUGCGAUAAGUAAUGUGAAUUGCAGAAUUCAGUGAAUCAUCGAAUCUUUGAACGCACAUUGCGCCCGCCAGUAUUCUGGCGGGCAUGCCUGUUCGAGCGUCAUUUCAACCAUCAAGCCCCCGGCUUGUGUUUGGGACCUGCGGCUGCCCGCAGGCCCUGAAAAACAGUGGCGGGCUCGCUGUCACACCGAGCGUAGUAGCAUACAUUCUCGCUCAGGGCGUGCUGCGGGUUCCGGCCGUUAAACGACCUUCAUAACCCAAGGUUGACCUCGGAUCAGGUAGGAAGACCCGCUGAACUUAAGC
RNAcentral lists this unclassified non-coding RNA (305 nucleotides) under plant metagenome. Its description in RNAcentral is "partial contains 5.8S ribosomal RNA, internal transcribed spacer 2, and large subunit ribosomal RNA". The stretch from base 1 to 105 matches the Rfam family "5.8S ribosomal RNA", at positions 50 to 154 of the family's 154-position model. The record is from RNAcentral.